RNAcentral lists this ribosomal RNA (254 nucleotides) under uncultured bacterium. RNAcentral describes it as "partial 16S ribosomal RNA". It matches the Rfam family "Bacterial small subunit ribosomal RNA", at positions 524 to 776 of the family's 1533-position model. The record is from RNAcentral.
UACGGGGGGAGCAAGCGUUGUUCGGAUUUACUGGGCGUAAAGGGCGCGUAGGCGGCCACCGCAAGUCAAUUGUGAAAUCUCCGGGCUUAACUCGGAAAGGUCAACUGAUACUGCGGGGCUAGAGUGCGGAAGGGGCAACUGAAAUUCUCGGUGUAGCGGUGAAAUGCGUAGAUAUCGAGAGGAACACCUGCGGCGAAGGCGGGUUGCUGGGCCGACACUGACGCUGAUGCGCGAAAGCCAGGGGAGCGAACGGG